Molecule: non-coding RNA, 412 nt
Organism: Procambarus clarkii (red swamp crayfish)
Lineage: Eukaryota; Metazoa; Arthropoda; Malacostraca; Decapoda; Cambaridae
Source: RefSeq, a predicted model, not a curated record
GUGCUGGUGGCGGGACACUGGCUCCUUCACGCUCUCUCAGGAAUAUCUAUUCUACCUCACAGGUCGCCUCACUCUCCAGAGGUGCAGUACUCCUGGUUGGAGGAGGACCUCAGCAGCACGGUGCAGCCUCGUUACCCAGCUUAGCGGCCUCUGGCAAGGAGGAGCCGGGUGAUGCUAUAAGAAGCAGCAGUAGCAGCGUGGGCACAGCAGUGGCAGGCAGCCGCCCAAGCGCAGUGGAUGUGCGUUGCUCGAGCUCGGCUGUGAGCACCUCCAGGCAGCGGAACGCUUGUGUACGGAGGUUCUCUCUCCACCAGGAUGUUCAGGCAGCGCUGAACACGUCACAACAACCUCUCAGGCGUCCGAGGUGUUUAUCUCGGGGGCUUAGAACGGAAAAUGAAUAUCAAAGACUGAA